CAGUCGCCGCGGUAGUACGAGGGGGGCAAGCGUUGUUCGGAAUUGUUGGGCGUGAAGGGUGCGUAGGCGGUUUGAUAAGUUCUAUGUGAAAUCUAUGGGCUCAACCCAUAGUCUGCAUGGAAAACUGUCAGGCUUGAGAAUGGGAGAGGUGGGUGGAAUCUCCGGUGUAGCGGUGAAAUGCGUAGAUAUCGGAAGGAACACCUGUGGCGAAAGCGGCUCACUGGACCAUUUCUGACGCUGAUGCACGAAAGCUAGGGGAGCAAACAGGAUUAGAUACCCCGGUAGUCCCUGUCUCUUAUAC
Molecule: ribosomal RNA, 301 nt
Filed under: uncultured bacterium
Lineage: Bacteria
Description: partial 16S ribosomal RNA
Rfam family: Bacterial small subunit ribosomal RNA
Source: RNAcentral